Molecule: ribosomal RNA, 301 nt
Filed under: uncultured bacterium
Lineage: Bacteria
Description: partial 16S ribosomal RNA
Rfam family: Bacterial small subunit ribosomal RNA
Source: RNAcentral
CAGUAGCCGCGGGAAUACAGAGGGUGCGAGCCUUAAUCGGAUUUACUGGGCGUAAAGCGUGCGUAGGCGGCUUUUUAAGUCGGAUGUGAAAUCCCUGAGCUUAACUUAGGAAUUGCAUUCGAUACUGGGAAGCUAGAGUAUGGGAGAGGAUGGUAGAAUUCCAGGUGUAGCGGUGAAAUGCGUAGAGAUCUGGAGGAAUACCGAUGGCGAAGGCAGCCAUCUGGCCUAAUACUGACGCUGAGGUACGAAAGCAUGGGGAGCAAACAGGAUUAGAUACCCCCGUAGUCCCUGUCUCUUAUAC